RNAcentral lists this long non-coding RNA (452 nucleotides) under Mytilus galloprovincialis (Mediterranean mussel). Lineage: Eukaryota; Metazoa; Mollusca; Bivalvia; Mytilida; Mytilidae. The record is from RNAcentral.
CCCCGAUUUUUUUUAUUUUUGAAAAAAAAGUACGAUUUCCGGAUUUUGUUCAUUUCCGUUACCGGUAACCGUCGAUAUUUCGUUUCGUGUAAAACUUCCUGUUUCAAUUUCGGUUUUCGUAUUUCUUAGAGUAUUCUAACUGAAUGAUUAAGUCGAUAUAUUCGGCUGAUCUAUGAUGACAACAUCAUUUACCGAGAAUAAAAAUUGAUUACGAGAAGGGUGUGAAAUAUUCGGGUAACGAGUAAUACGCUGUGUCUAAGAACGCAAAUCGCCGUACACUAUGUCACAAAUGACACAAAUGUUAGUGAGUAAAACACAUUGGAUUUAUUUUAUUUAUACAAUGACUUUGGAUAUGAAAUUUGGACUGUGAAGGAAACCCAAAAGCAUCAGAAUCGUGGAACACAUUUGACUGGAAUAAAGAAAUUGACACAAGCAUGAAGUUUUUAGAUUAA